UCUACCUGGAGGUUCCAGCCUCAAUAGGUGU
Molecule: non-coding RNA, 31 nt
Filed under: Rattus norvegicus (Norway rat)
Lineage: Eukaryota; Metazoa; Chordata; Mammalia; Rodentia; Muridae
Source: RNAcentral